UGGGGAAUAUUGCACAAUGGGCGAAAGCCUGAUGCAGCAACGCCGCGUGAGUGAUGAAGGCCUUCGGGUUGUAAAGCUCUGUCUUUUGGGACGAUAAUGACGGUACCAAAGGAGGAAGCCACGGCUAACUACGUGCCAGCAGCCGCGGUAAUACGUAGGUGGCAAGCGUUGUCCGGAUUUACUGGGCGUAAAGGAUGCGUAGGCGGAUUUUUAAGUGAGAUGUGAAAACCCUAAGCUUAACUUGGGGACUGCAUUUCAUACUGGAAAUCUAGAGUGCGGGAGAGGAGAACGGAAUUCCUAGUGUAGCGGUGAAAUGCGUAGAGAUUAGGAAGAACACCAGUGGCGAAGGCGAUUCUCUGGACCGUAACUGACGCUGAGGCAUGAAAAGCGUGGGUAGCAAACAGGAUUAGAUACCCUGGUAGUCCACGCCGUAAACGAUGAGUACUAGGUGUAGGAGGUAUCGACCCCUUCUGUGCCGCAGUUAACACAAUAAGUACUCCGCCUGGGAAGUACGAUCGCAAGAUUAAAACUCAAAGGAAUUGACGGGGUC
This 550-nucleotide ribosomal RNA is filed under the name uncultured bacterium. RNAcentral describes it as "partial 16S ribosomal RNA". It matches the Rfam family "Bacterial small subunit ribosomal RNA", at positions 355 to 920 of the family's 1533-position model. The record is from RNAcentral.